This 440-nucleotide ribosomal RNA is filed under the name uncultured bacterium. Its description in RNAcentral is "partial 16S ribosomal RNA". It matches the Rfam family "Bacterial small subunit ribosomal RNA", at positions 338 to 795 of the family's 1533-position model. The record is from RNAcentral.
CCUACGGGAGGCAGCAGUGGGGAAUAUUGCACAAUGGGGGAAACCCUGAUGCAGCGACGCCGCGUGAGUGAAGAAGUAAUUCGUUAUGUAAAGCUCUAUCUGCAGGGAAGAAAAUGACGGUACCUGAGCAAGAAGCCCCGGCUAACUACGUGCCAGCAGCCGUGGUAAUAUGGAGGGGGCAACCGUUAUCCGGAUUUACUGGGGGUAAAGGGGGUGUAGACGGCAGUGCAAGUCUGGAGUGAAAGGCGGGGGCUCAACCCCCGGACUGCUCUGGAAACUGUGCGUCUUGAGUGCAGGAGAGGUACGUGGAAUUCCUGGUGUAGCGGUGAAAUGCAUAGAUAUUACGCAGAACUCCGAUGGCGAAGGCAGCGUACUGGACUGUAACUGACGUUGAGGCACGAAAGCGUGGGUAUCAAACAGGAUUAGAUACCCUUGUAGUC